RNAcentral lists this long non-coding RNA (227 nucleotides) under Sorghum bicolor (sorghum). Its description in RNAcentral is "long non-coding RNA (SBIC_LNC010649)". The record is from RNAcentral. Lineage: Eukaryota; Viridiplantae; Streptophyta; Magnoliopsida; Poales; Poaceae.
GGUAGAGUCCUUGGUUUUAUAGUCCCUUUAAGUGAAUUUGGGCCGUCGGAUCAAACCGACAUUGAUUGUAUAGUUUAGAUUGAUCCUUUAGGUCGGUGGAGUUUAGCCCCGAAGCAGAGUUCUGAUCCAACUCCUGGCCAGGUCGGGCGCCCAAGGGGGGUGGGCGGGCGCCCUGCCCCCGAGCCCGAUUCCCUUCUCGUUCGUUCCCGUGGCUUCUGGACUCUUCU